AUGACCUGGACGCCGGCCCGCCCUCCACGGGCUCCUCCACCGCCGCGCUCGUCUCGCCGGCGGCCUCCUCGUCCUCCUCCUCCUACGCCACUAGCGCCAACACCACCCCCACCGCCGACCCCGGCAGCGCCAGGGGCCCCGUCGCGCUCAUGCCCACCACCCCGACGCCCACCUCCGCCGGCCUCCGCCUCUCCAAGUCUGGCAGCAAGUCCUUCAAGGUACCACCACCACCAAACUACAUAUCCAGUUAUACACCUGUGA
RNAcentral lists this ribosomal RNA (261 nucleotides) under Triticum aestivum (bread wheat). Its description in RNAcentral is "partial small subunit ribosomal RNA". The record is from RNAcentral. Lineage: Eukaryota; Viridiplantae; Streptophyta; Magnoliopsida; Poales; Poaceae.